UCGAGAAUUUUUGACAAUGGGGGAAACCCUGAUCGAGCGACGCCGCGUGGAGGAUGAAGGUCUUCGGAUUGUAAACUCCUGUCAUUGGGGAACAAGGUGCAUACGUUAACUGCGUGUGCAUUGAUAGUACCCGAAGAGGAAGAGACGGCUAACUCUGUGCCAGCAGCCGCGGUAAUACAGAGGUCUCAAGCGUUGUUCGGAUUCAUUGGGCGUAAAGGGUGCGUAGGCGGCGCGGUAAGUCGGGUGUGAAAUCUCGGAGCUUAACUCCGAAACUGCAUUCGAUACUGCCGUGCUUGAGGACUGGAGAGGAGACUGGAAUUUACGGUGUAGCGGUGAAAUGCGUAGAUAUCGUAAGGAAGACCAGUGGCGAAGGCGGGUCUCUGGACAGUUCCUGACGCUGAGGCACGAAGGCCAGGGGAGCAAACG
This 426-nucleotide ribosomal RNA is filed under the name uncultured Candidatus Udaeobacter sp. RNAcentral's name for it is "bacterial SSU rRNA". It matches the Rfam family "Bacterial small subunit ribosomal RNA", at positions 355 to 774 of the family's 1533-position model. The record is from RNAcentral. Lineage: Bacteria; Pseudomonadati; Verrucomicrobiota; Spartobacteria; Chthoniobacterales; Chthoniobacteraceae.